GUUGGGCCUGCUCGGUGAGAAGAAAAUUUAACAGCUGCGGUAUUAUAACUGUACUAAGGUAGCAUAAUAAUUUGCCUUAUAAAUUAAGGCUAGAAUGAAUGGUUUGACGAAAAUUAGACUGUCUUUAUUUUAUUUGUUAGAAAUUAAUUUUUAUAGUGAAAAAGCUUGAAUAAUUUAAGGGGACGAGAAGACCCUAUUGAGCUUUAUUUAUUAAUAUUUAAAUAUAAAUAUAUAAUUUAUAUUAUGAAAAUUAUGUUGUAUAUAUAUAUAUAUAUAUUUAAUUGGAUUUAAUUUUGAUUGGGGUGAUCAAGGAAUAAAGAUAAAGUAACUUCCUUAAAAUUAAUGAUUGUUUUUAUAGAGUAAUAAACCAAGUUUUUUGCUUAUAAGAUAAGUUACCAUAGGGGUAACAGCGUAAUUUUUUUUGAGAGUUCAUAUUGAAAAAAGAGAUUGCGACCUCGAUGUUGGAUUAAAAAUUACCUUAAGG
Molecule: ribosomal RNA, 484 nt
Filed under: Callistoctopus minor (long arm octopus)
Lineage: Eukaryota; Metazoa; Mollusca; Cephalopoda; Octopoda; Octopodidae
Description: partial 16S ribosomal RNA
Rfam family: Bacterial large subunit ribosomal RNA
Source: RNAcentral